Molecule: ribosomal RNA, 253 nt
Filed under: uncultured bacterium
Lineage: Bacteria
Description: partial 16S ribosomal RNA
Rfam family: Bacterial small subunit ribosomal RNA
Source: RNAcentral
AACGUAGGAGACAAACGUUAUCCGGAGUUACUGGGCGUAAAGGGCGUGUAGGUGGUUUCGUAAGUCUGGCGUGAAAUUUUUCGGCUUAACCGGGAAAGGUCGUCGGAUACUGCGGAACUAGAGGACGGUAGAGGCGUGUGGAAUUCCGGGUGUAGUGGUGAAAUGCGUAGAUAUCAAGAGGAACACCUGCGGCGAAGGCGGGUUGCUGGGCCGACACUGACGCUGAUGCGCGAAAGCUAGGGGAGCGAACGGG